ACGGCAGCACGGGAGCAAUCCUGGUGGCGAGUGGCGAACGGGUGAGUAAUGUAUCGGAACGUACCUUUCAGUGGGGGAUAACGUAGCGAAAGUUACGCUAAUACCGCAUAUUCUGUGAGCAGGAAAGCAGGGGAUCGCAAGACCUUGCGCUGAUUGAGCGGCCGAUAUCAGAUUAGCUAGUUGGUGAGGUAAAGGCUCACCAAGGCGACGAUCUGUAGCGGGUCUGAGAGGAUGAUCCGCCACACUGGAACUGAGACACGGUCCAGACUCCUACGGGAGGCAGCAGUGGGGAAUUUUGGACAAUGGGGGCAACCCUGAUCCAGCCAUGCCGCGUGAGUGAAGAAGGCCUUCGGGUUGUAAAGCUCUUUCAGCCGGGAAGAAAUCACAUGGGUUAAUACCCUGUGUGGAUGACGGUACCGGAAUAAGAAGCACCGGCUAACUACGUGCCAGCAGCCGCGGUAAUACGUAGGGUGCGAGCGUUAAUCGGAAUUACUGGGCGUAAAGCGUGCGCAGGCGGUUUGUUAAGAUAGGCGUGAAAUCCCCGGGCUCAACCUGGGAACUGCGUUUAUGACUGGCAGGCUAGAGUAUGGCAGAGGGGGGUGGAAUUCCACGUGUAGCAGUGAAAUGCGUAGAGAUGUGGAGGAACACCGAUGGCGAAGGCAGCCCCCUGGGCCAAUACUGACGCUCAUGCACGAAAGCGUGGGUAGCAAACAGGAUUAGAUACCCUGGUAGUCCACGCCCUAAACGAUGUCAACUAGGUGUUGGGUGGGUAAAACCAUUUAGUACCGGAGCUAACGCGUGAAGUUGACCGCCUGGGG
RNAcentral lists this ribosomal RNA (818 nucleotides) under uncultured bacterium. RNAcentral's name for it is "bacterial SSU rRNA". It matches the Rfam family "Bacterial small subunit ribosomal RNA", at positions 66 to 878 of the family's 1533-position model. The record is from RNAcentral.